ACGAACGUUGGCGGCGUGGAUUAGGCAUGCAAGUCGAGCGAGGGCAGUCGUGUAGCAAUACAAGGCUGAACCGAGCGGCGAAAGGGGCAGUAAGGCGUGGAUAACUUGCCCGGAGGACGGGGAUAGCCAUUCUAACGAGUGGGUAAUACCCGGCGAUGUAGCGAGGGGGCAUCCUCUUGCUACCAAAGGAAUUUCGCCUCCGGAGGGGUUCACGUGGUAUUAGCUAGUUGGUGGGGUGAUGGCCUACCAAGGCAAAGAUGCCUAGCAGGUGUGAGAGCACGACCUGCGCCACUGGCACUGAGACACUGGCCAGACACCUACGGGUGGCUGCAGUCGAGAAUCUUCGGCAAUGGGCGCAAGCCUGACCGAGCGACGCCGCGUGGAGGAUGAAGGCCUUCGGGUUGUAAACUCCUGUCGUAGGGGAGGAAAGCGCAAGCUUGACCUAUCCUAGGAGGAAGCACGGGCUAAGUUCGU
This 474-nucleotide ribosomal RNA is filed under the name uncultured bacterium. Its description in RNAcentral is "bacterial SSU rRNA". It matches the Rfam family "Bacterial small subunit ribosomal RNA", at positions 29 to 506 of the family's 1533-position model. The record is from RNAcentral.